This 253-nucleotide ribosomal RNA is filed under the name uncultured bacterium. Its description in RNAcentral is "partial 16S ribosomal RNA". It matches the Rfam family "Bacterial small subunit ribosomal RNA", at positions 524 to 776 of the family's 1533-position model. The record is from RNAcentral. RNAcentral also lists the same sequence under 1 other name.
UACGGAGGGGGCCAGCGUUGUUCGGAAUCAUUGGGCGUAAAGGGCGCGUAGGUGGCCGCGCAAGUCGGAGGUGAAAUCCCUCGGCCCAACCGAGGAACUGCCUCUGAAACUGCGCGGCUCGAGUCCCGGAGAGGGCAGUGGAAUUCCCAGUGUAGCGGUGAAAUGCGUAGAUAUUGGGAGGAACACCGGUGGCGAAGGCGGCUGCCUGGACGGGUACUGACGCUGAUGCGCGAAAGCGUGGGGAGCAAACAGG